GAUGAACGCUGGCGGCGUGCCUAAUACAUGCAGGUCGAGCGAACAGACGAGGAGCUUGCUCCUCUGACGUUAGCGGCGGACGGGUGAGUAACACGUGGAUAACCUACCUAUAAGACUGGGAUAACUUCGGGAAACCGGAGCUAAUACCGGAUAAUAUAUUGAACCGCAUGGUUCAAUAGUGAAAGACGGCUUUGCUGUCACUUAUAGAUGGAUCCGCGCCGCAUUAGCUAGUUGGUAAGGUAACGGCUUACCAAGGCGACGAUGCGUAGCCGACCUGAGAGGGUGAUCGGCCACACUGGAACUGAGACACGGUCCAGACUCCUACGGGAGGCAGCAGUAGGGAAUCUUCCGCAAUGGGCGAAAGCCUGACGGAGCAACGCCGCGUGAGUGAUGAAGGUCUUCGGAUCGUAAAACUCUGUUAUUAGGGAAGAACAAAUGUGUAAGUAACUAUGCACGUCUUGACGGUACCUAAUCAGAAAGCCACGGCUAACUACCUG
RNAcentral lists this ribosomal RNA (497 nucleotides) under uncultured bacterium. Its description in RNAcentral is "partial 16S ribosomal RNA". It matches the Rfam family "Bacterial small subunit ribosomal RNA", at positions 28 to 507 of the family's 1533-position model. The record is from RNAcentral.